CGUAGGUGCAAGCGUUGUCCGGAAUUAUUGGGCGUAAAGAGCUCGUAGGCGGUUGUCGCGUCUGCUGUGAAAUCCCGAGGCUCAACCUCGGGUCUGCAGUGGGUACGGGCAGACUAGAGUGCGGUAGGGAGAUUGGAAUUCCUGGUGUAGCGGUGGAAUGCGCAGAUAUCAGGAGGAACACCGAUGGCGAAGGCAGAUCUCUGGGCCGUAACUGACGCUGAGGAGCGAAAGGGUGGGAGCAAACAGGCUU
RNAcentral lists this ribosomal RNA (250 nucleotides) under uncultured bacterium. Its description in RNAcentral is "partial 16S ribosomal RNA". It matches the Rfam family "Bacterial small subunit ribosomal RNA", at positions 526 to 779 of the family's 1533-position model. The record is from RNAcentral.